This is a long non-coding RNA of Salvelinus fontinalis (brook trout), 2701 nucleotides long. RefSeq lists it as uncharacterized. The record is from RefSeq and is a predicted model, not a curated record. Lineage: Eukaryota; Metazoa; Chordata; Actinopteri; Salmoniformes; Salmonidae. The transcript is spliced from 6 exons.
AACUGAACUUUACAGGACAAAUAGUUUCUGAACACAAUUUUGAUUUCAGUGUAACUUUUCUUUAUUUUUUCUUCAAUAAGAACCACUGCUGUGUUGAAAGCAAACCACCCCCACCAUCCAAUCUCUGAUAUUGGUUUUCUGCUUCCUCUCCUCUAGCUGCAGUGAUUACACCAAAGUGAAGUUGGUGGGAGGCCAAUUUGUGAAUCACAAGGUUGGCCAAAUAUCCAACAUUGCUGAUCAAGGGAAGUUGACUCACUGACCUGAGGCUGAGUGACUUCUUGAAUGAAGAUAAUCUUUUAAGUUGGCCAUUAAAAUGUAAUUGUCUUUUACCACUGUAGUUGCGAAAGAUUAAUUUCUCAGUUAAAGGGGAAUUCCACUUUUCCUGUUUCUGUUGAGUCCGUAUGGUUUCAUAUCGUUAUGUGAGUUUCACAGCCAUCCUAAUGUGAUGUUAAAGGGGAACUUCACCCAUUUUAAGUUUUUGUGGCCUUACUUUUCUCUUUAUAUAUAUAUUAUGUCUACUGUGCCAUUAAUCCAUGUUUGAAAGAUUUAACCUUAAUAUGCAAAUAUUGAGUUAUAGGAUGGUGGAAACAAAAUAUGUAAAAUUAGUGAGUUUGGAGUGUUUUAUAUACACAUUUUUAUCAUGCAUUCAGUCAAUGGAAAGUGAUGAUUCAGCAAAAGUGAAACCAAUUUUCAGAAAUACGAUAUCAAAAAACGAUUUGGGAAAUCAACUACAAACACAGAAAGGGAGAACAUAAAACAUGUGAAAAUGUGUUAACUUCCCCUGACAGUAUAACAACAGAAUUUCCUCUUGGGGAUCAAUCACAUAUAAAAUGCAAACAUUUUACAGUUUUGUUAUGGAUCGCCGUUAAACUCUAACUCACAUAGUAAUGAUUUUUUGAAACCAUCUAUAGAAUGGACUGGAGAACAUCGAACAGAACAAUUGAUUGUAAUUCCCCCACUCAUGGUUAUUUUGAAAUGAUUUGUCUCUGCAUUCCUGAAAUAUGACGUACCAGUCGCCAGCCAAAUUAAUGCAAAGCUGUAUGAUGAGUCGGGAACUGAAGUUGAUGGAGAAAUGUUUGAGGAGGUGCUGACACAGCCAAGUCCUGGUGUUUUCACAAUCAGACUGGACAAUGAUACUGGUAUGUGUUGGUUUUUCACAGUAAUAAAGUUAGAGGUUUAACUGUCGGCCUCUCCUCUGGACCAGUUACUUUGUAUAGGGCUGUGUUGCUUUCUCACAUUCAUUUGGAAUGUCUCUCUUUGUCAAAACCUUUACAAUAAUCAACCACUUUGUGUGACAGUAUCUUCCCAGAUGACUUCCUCCUUUGCCAGUUCCUUGUUGGAGAUCUCGUCCAUUGAGUUAGAUGAUACUGUCAUUCUGAGCGAUGAUUGGAGCCCUUCAAGAAAACGACAGAGAGCUGAGGAUGAAGCUAAACAACAUGUAUUUUUCUGAGUGUAAUGUAAUAAGCAUCUGUUUAGAAUCAUUAUUUGCUAACAUCUCUUUCUCUUAACUAAUGUUCCGUAUAUCAGCUUACCCCCCUGAUAGUUGGGAGCUGUAAACCAGUGCAUACCUUUUUACCUGCAGUGUCCGAUGAGAGCGGGUAAGGAUGGUUCUGGAUUGUUCUUGAUCAUUUUCCUUUCAUAGUUAAGAAAUAACAUACUGAAGAAGAAAUCUGGUGGCGCUCUUGUCAUCAAUACUCUCGAACCAAAGGGCUGACUGACGACACCAGACGAAAGAUGAUACAUUUUCUCACAGCAGAGAUGACCGAGACUCACGGUUAAGCACUAAACCAGGCACGCAAGAAAGCUGUCUGUAUCUAAGAUGUAUUUGAGAUGAAUGUUGCUAUUAUAGGGACCAGAAUCAACAGGGGGCUUCAUUGCAAAUGGAUGAAUAAAGUACUCUUGUUGUCAGGACAUCAGCACCACGCCAUGAGGGAGUCAUAUGCUCAAGGAAUUGUCGACUUGUUCCCUUACCUCAAGGACUCCUACAAAACUAAAAGAUAUGAACAUUAUUUUGACCCUCAAACUGGAAAUAGUUACUUGUCCUCUGAACCAUCCAGAGGAAUUCAGCUUCACCUGAGAAAUUAUCACCUAGCCAGUAAUUCAGUGGUGACCCAAUAGCUGAGAUAGAGACUCCAUCCCAUCCAGAGAUUACCCUGAUUGGUGAAAAGUGUAGGGAAGCCAUUUCCCUGAUGAAGCAUUCUUCUGAUGAGGUCACCAACAAGCAGAAAAUGAGGAUGACAUUUGAAUACAGACGGAAGAUGACUCAUGACCCAAGUAAAUGCUGCGAGUUGCUGACUGAAUUUCCACAAUUCAUGGAUAUGAAGUGCCUGGAUGGACAGUGACCUCUCCUCCAUCCUCCUCCAGCUCCAUUUGAUUCCCCCUUCAUCACAAGGCCACAAAAGACCAGGCAAGGCAGGAACCAGUAUCCAGAAACACAUUGAUGCUAUUGCCCAAAGCAGUUAACCGUACCUUCUUGCUGUCGGGACCAAGAGGAGCAGCAUCCAUAGUUACUUCAUCAUCCUGGACAAGCAAGCUCUGACAUGAAACUCACCAAGCGCCUUUUCUUUAGUUUAUUUGUUAAAUAUUUUCUUUACUCUUCUUGAACUGCACUGUUGGUUAAGGGCUUGCAAGUAAGCAUUUCACGGUAAUGUCUACACUUGUUGUAUUUGGAGCAUGUGGCAAAUAAAGUUUGAUUUGAUGA